GGAUAACUACUGGAAACGGUAGCUAAUACCGCAUAACGUCGCAAGACCAAAGAGGGGGACCUUCGGGCCUCUUGCCAUCGGAUGUGCCCAGAUGGGAUUAGCUAGUAGGUGAGGUAACGGCUCACCUAGGCGACGAUCCCUAGCUGGUCUGAGAGGAUGACCAGCCACACUGGAACUGAGACACGGUCCAGACUCCUACGGAGGCAGCAUG
RNAcentral lists this ribosomal RNA (211 nucleotides) under uncultured bacterium. RNAcentral's name for it is "partial 16S ribosomal RNA". It matches the Rfam family "Bacterial small subunit ribosomal RNA", at positions 141 to 353 of the family's 1533-position model. The record is from RNAcentral.